UAAUACGACGCGAUGUGGCGAUCAACGUAUAUACAGUCAGUUGCGUGUUGUAUUUUAGUCUUAUAGUAUUGUGAAUAGUGAGAGGUUAUAAUCACAAGAGAAUCAUUUAUUAAAGGCAUAGUGACUAAAAGUAUGACAACAGUAACGCGAAUUAUAUUGAAAUUGAGUGCUGCAACUGGCGUAGGUUUUGCUGGUUGGUGUUUAGGGAAAUUUUCAGAACAGAAACGACAUUUGAAUGCAGAUAUAAAAAACAAUGGAAGUCAUAUUGUUUCGAAUGUAAACAUCAAAGAAAUGCCUGGUUUACCUUUAUUUGGAACUGUUUCUGCAGCAGUUCCUAUGGAAGUUGAUACAAAUAUGGGUUCAAAAUUGUCAUCGACAGCUACAAGAGUAUCAGAAAUUAUGAAGUAUGGUUUCCCUGGAUUGGAUCAUGUUAGAUCUUACGAAGAUUUUGUCCUUUCUUAUGAUAGAAGAAAUAGGGUAGCUCAUUGGGUCUUUGAACAUUUAAAUAAAGAUAGAUUACAACCCAAUGAGGAGAUAUCACGUAGUAAGUGUGAAUUCAAACCUGACCUAAGUAUACAUCCUUUUUUUAGAUCAGAAAAUCAUGAUUACAAAGGCAGUGGAUACGAUCGUGGACAUUUAGCAGCAGCUGGGAAUCACAAGUGUGCUCAAAGUCACAUAGAUCAGACAUUUUUCCUAACGAACAUGGCACCGCAAGUAGGUGUGGGUUUCAACAGGGAUUCUUGGAAUAGAUUGGAAAAAUAUGUUAGGCACUUAACUAAAGUUUAUAAGGAUGUAUAUGUCUGUACUGGUCCUUUAUAUUUGCCAAAAAUAGAGGCUAAUGGGAAAAAAUAUGUUCGAUAUGAAGUUAUUGGCACAAAUCAUGUAGCAGUACCUACUCAUUUUUAUAAAAUAGUUGUUGGCGAAACACAUGAUUCUAAAUUAGAAAUGGAAGCAUUUGUAAUGCCAAAUACUCCUAUAGAUGACAAUGUACCUUUAACAAAUUUCCAGGUACCACCAGAAAGUAUAGAACGGGCUGCUGGACUUUUAUUUUUUGAUAAGAUCUCACGUGAUAAAUUAAGUAAAAUAAAUGGAAAAAAUGUUCGAUAACUACGACAUGAAGGACAGGGGCCAAAGAUAGCUCCGUUAUUGAUGGAAUCGUUAAAAAGUAUACCAGGACCUUGGAGGAUACAUCCUCUGAACGCUUCUCCCACGAUAAGGGAGCCAUUCAUAUCGUAAUCGGGCAGCGUAAGGAUCGCAGCAUUGUACGUUGCAUUGGCAAUUACCUAAACAGAAUCAGUCAAAAAAUCAACGUUGUAACGAGAAAUAGAAAUAUAGCUUUAGAGUCUCAGAUCCGCCAAAGAGGUAAAAAUUACUUUUUUAAUUGCUCUUUUUAAAAAAGAAAAAAGAAAACGUAAGUAGAAUGAUCUCGACAGCAGAAGGGGAGAGUAAAAAACAUUUUUUAAGAUCACGUUUUUCAUUUCAUAAAGUUUCAUAAAUAUCGAUGUACGACUUCAAAGGGAAACAUUAUAAUUUAAGUUUUUAAUAUACCAUAACAAUUUAAUUUUUUAAUUUAAUCGAUCGUCAAAUUGUUGGAUUUAUUAAACAGAUACAAUUCGUCACUAGAUAUGGAAAAUUUAUUACAACGAGGAGAGUCUUUUAUAUUGAAAAAAGUGUUGAUCACCUGUGUGUGUCCUGCUGCGUUUAAAGUGAGAUUUCCGAGCCUAAAGAAGAUAUUGACGUUGUGCCAAACAUUAUUCAGUAAUCUGGCGUUUAGUCUCGCUUUGUAUCGUUGUUGAUCGAUGAUGGCCGCGAACAGAAGUCCAUCCGGGGUCACUUCCAGACUAAUCGAAUCCUCGUUGUAUUUCUGCAUGAAAAGUCGACCUCCUUCGCAUGUUCGAAAACUCAAGCCGCUAUGCCUAUGCACGGACACGAACGAGCUCAAUUUGAGGAACGCCGACCCAUUGAAAUAGGCUUCCCUGGGACGUUCAUCGUAGUUUUUGUGUCUGGAAUCUUGCGGCGCUUCGUCGGUGACUACUAAUAAGCUCUAUGUCGGAUAUCGUAGAUAUUCGAACAGUUACAGAUAUUUACCGAAAGUAGGAAAUGAAGGACAGUGCGACCGAUUAUGUGAGUGUUCCAAUUUCUGUUAUCGCUAUUAACUAUGUAGGUUGAAAUUUCGGUAAGAUAAUGUACGCUUGUAUUGGAUUCUAAUCGACAUGUGUACACGAAAGAUUUGAUUUCUCUGCUCACUGAAACGUUCAAUUUAGGUUACUGAAUUGCAUCCUCUUCGAUAAACUAAUCGAAUGGUUGUUCGAAUUCGUAGUUUUAUUCGAUAUUGAACGAAUUCCAUAUAUUUAGUUAGACUUUUUUCUUUAUCCGAGUUCUGCUUUAUUUACGACAUUUCUUUUUAUAUUUCUGUAGCUUGCGUGGCCUCGUGCUAUAGAAUAUUUAUUAAGAGAGUAAGUUUUCCAAUUUAAGCUUUAUCAUUAGGUAUUUUAAAAAUACAAACAUCCGUAACUUUCCAAGCAAGGCGGUUGAUGAAGUCCACUGCACCCACAGGAGGAUCGAUGGUAACCAAUAAAUAAUGCAUGAGAUGCAUCUGCACGCCCUCGUAAGGUUGUAUAGUUAGGAGAGACUCGUUUAAGGUGGACAUUACGGUUAUACACCGGCGAAAAUUCGUCGAAAUCACGAACCUUGAUUAAUUACAACUACAACGUAUUGAUUAUUUACGCGGAAUGUUUAUCACGUGAAAAAUAAAUUUCAGAACAGAUAAAAUAGAUAUUUUCCAUAUAUAUAUAUAUAUUGCCAUAUUAUAUUUAUAUAUAUAACCAUCAUUUAUUUAUAUAUGUAGAUAAAUUAUGUUUAGAUAAACUAAUCCACGUAAAUCGAAUUAAUCGCACUUUUGGAAUUAAAGUGCGCAUGCUACACGCCAGAUUGCCAUGGGAAAACAGAGUUUAAGAUAACAUUAUAAUUCGAUAGAGUUAACGUCGCGUAUCUGGCCUUGUCUGCCUACACUUUGAAAUAAUUCAAUACAUCCAUCCUUCGAAUGUAUCGAGUACAUGGAAAAAGAUUAAAUGUUACUCGAAUGACUAAUAAUGGGAAAAAGACAAAAGUCGUGUGUCUGUGUAUGUGUUGGAGUACGAUUAAAUUGUGAGAGAGUUUGUUGGAAAGGAAAAAAUGACAUACACCUGGUAUGAACCUAUGUACGUGCACGAUCGUAAAAAGAAAUCAUAAACGAUUUAUAAAGAAUACGAUGGUAACAGUUCUUACUUCUUACAUUGUCAAUAAAUAGAAAAAUUCCGAAGCAUUUCCUUUUAUAUUUAACGGUACAACUAAAAAGUUAUUUUACGUAUGCAUAUAACGAAACUGAUCAAUCGUAAGUUUUAUGACAACCGAUAAUAGUAUGGAAAUUGCACGAAGCGAGAUCGGCUGCAAUACAUACAUAUAUACGUAUAUGUUAACCGAUAAAAGUACUUCGCUGUAUGCUGUCUCCUCUGUAUUUUCAUAAGACCUUGAAUAACACGUCUCUGAUGAACUAUUCUUUCUUACGAUCGUUCCCUAAUUUACAUAUUCUGAUGUUGACAUAAUAAACAGAAGCGUUGUAUCUCGUACAGAAUUGCCGCGUUAUCAUGAUAUUUCAGUGGACGUCGUUAAUGAAUUGCAGAACAGGUUGAUCAAAAUAUCUAUGUCUAUAUAUAGCGUCGUUACGAAGAUAACUUUAGGAUAAAAAACGAACAUUUACGUAAGCACGGACAAAAAAAAAAAAAAAAAAGAAGAAAUAUCAAAGUGGCGGUUAAAUCAUCGUAAUCGUAACAAAAUUAUUCAUGCUUGAAUCUAAGGAAGCAGCAGUAUGGUAUCUUUAAUUAAGAUUCAUAUCGUGCUGGCUCCUAGAGUUUUUCCACGAUUCCUCUCGCAUGAGCGCACGCGACGCGUUCGAGAAUGAAUACAUGGCAGGAACUCACGAGUUUGCGUGAUUGGCAUAUAAAAUACGCACAGAAAAGACAGUUGUACUUUACGUAUGUUGUCUUAGACACAAUGGGGAACACACCGUGAUGUGAACAAUUGCAACGAUGUAGACUUGAGAACAUUGAGAAAAAUCAUGGAAAGUAUAGUUAAUUCUAUAAUAUGUUCGAGCGCUACUAUAUUACAGGAAUAUUCCUAAUUUCUUAUAUAUCUUAGUUGCAAUUGGCAAUUAUUGUUGCAGAUAGAGAUAAUUAGCAAUUAUAUCAAUGGGUACUUUUGUGCGAUAAAAAUGAAUUCGAUAAAAGUUGCCUACGACUAUAGCAUUAGAAAUGCUACUUUACUCAAUUUCUAAAAAAAAAAAAAAAAAAAGGUUGGAAAAAGGAAGAAAAAGUUGCAAAACGAGAUCUAAUUACUUGAUAUCUUGAAGUGGAUGUUACUCCGAUUAUACCGUAUAAGUAGAAACGGUUUAUGGAAACUACUGAUCGUGAGACAACGCAGAAAACAACCGGAAGUAACUUCCUUUUCUUUAGAACGACGAGACGCAACGACAAAUAUGGUGACGUGCCUCUGGUUUUGCAGGUCUCAGCUCAACGAUGAAUCGAUAGAAAGACGUUCUGUUUCGUGACUAUGCAGGCGUUGAAGUCUCUUCUCCGCGCAGAUCAACGGAGGAAGAUUUCUCAGAAAUUCGUCGGCUAUUUGUCACACUUCUGAAGUUUAAUGAUUCAGAAUAGAAUAUCGCUAGAGAGUAGCGAUUGAAAUAAAAAGAAGGAACUAUAAUAUAAGCAAAAAUGUAACCAAAUGUAACCUACAAUCUCAAAAUAUCGAAUCGACUAAUUUUUGAUGCAAAUAGAAUUAGAAAUUAAGUGUGUCUAACUAUUCGACCGCUAUACAUAAAAAUGACGCGCUAUCGUUAAUGUUACAUUAUAAAUCCUAUAGCUUUUUUAUUACUUCGAUUGAAUAAUAUUUGGAUCAACCGUAAUUGACUAACUAUAUCUACCGUUUUAAAAUACCUAUUAGUUGUUCAAGCAACAACAAAUCAUUAAGAUUACGAAGAAAAUGAUUUAUCUACUUUAUAUAUUAGAAAGGAGUUUACUGUUAGAAAGCAUAACGGAUCAGACAGGCUACGUAAAAUUUCACGAUUCGUUUGGCAUCUCGAUGAUUGGAAGAAUUCCUUCUUAUUAACAGCAAGCAUGUUUUGUUACAACGAGUUGCAACAAUUUGUGAAAUACAUUCUGUGCGUCAUAAAAUAUUUGAUUUCUUUUGUCAAAGCAACGAUCGACAAACGUGAAAAUCCAUUAAAGAUUAUACAAUGUCCAACUAAUUAAACCGACUAAUGCAUUCCUAUUAUACGAUCAUACCAAUAGAAUUUCUUAACACGGUGAAUAUCUUUGUUGGUAUGUAUUCACAUAUGAGUACAAUAUUAUGUGACUCAACGGCUUAGCGAGUCUUGCCACGCCUUCGUUGGUCACGAGUAACUUUCUUUGUUGCUUUGUAGGAAGCUACUUAUCCGAGAUACUGUAUACUAAUACUCGUAAAGUAAUAGAUGCAACGAUAGUAAAUAUGUAGUACAAGAAGAGUGGGUUAAGCAACAGACAAGUGCAAAAUAAAAUAUACACGAUGUAACGCGUACCGAUAGAUUAUCUCUUUUUAUUACAGUAAAUACGUCGAACACGAGUUCAAUUAUUUAAAAUAAAUAUUUAUGACGAAAGAUGUAAAUUCAAUGACGCAUAGAGAUGCAAUUAUUCGAAGCAACAGUAUCUUAGAAGCUACGACUACUCUCGUACAAUUCUAAAUACUUUUUUUCGAUUAAUUUUAAAAUAAGUACGACUUAAUAACGCAGAAGUUACUUUAGUAUGCCAUUAAUGUAUUUACGCGUUAAUCACGAAUUGUUUCAUAACGUGAUAUUAUGGUUGAAUAAUGUGAUUGAUAAUUUUAUUAAGAAGCAGGUACGAGCUGUGAUGAAUUUCAACAAACAGAAUUUAUCACGGCGUGCACUCGGUACGUAUAGUGGUCGCGUGAGUUGUUUUACUAACAAACCCGUAUCUUAGCCACUCUUUUUGUUCGACGAUCUUCUUGUACUUCGUAAUUUGCCAAUCAUGCAUGAACGUGUAAUAUUUAAUAUUGGUUUAAUCCCUGUAAAAUCACGCACGAUAUGAAUAAUAGCAAUUUGUUGUUGUAGAAAAUAGUAAAUAUUUGUUUGAAUCGUAAUCGAAAUAUCAAUAAUUUCUAUACGUAAGUAACGAAUAGUGGAAAAAAUGUAUUGUACGCACGAUUCGUACUCAUCUAUCGUAAAACGAAUGCUGAUAGAGGAGAACAUUAUGUGUCGUUAACGUCAAAAAACAGGUUAUGGUUUCGAUGACUCACUGUCUCGGCUUUGUAAUAUGUAGAUACAAAGAACUCUUCGUCCCGAUCUCCACUGGUUAUACUUUCAACGUAAUCGUUGAAUUCCUAUACGUCGUUGGGUCGAAAGACAUCAUUUGCGGUUUAUUUUUACCUUUCGACAAGACGAGAAUCAACCGCUUUCCUUUAAGCAUAGAGGUGUAGCCGAAUGAGGAUUUAUUCGAAACUGUUUAACCUCGUGGCUCACUUACGACUUGUAGAGCACAGAAAUCCAAUUAGGGAAGAAAGAGUCUUUUAUUUCAAGGAUGAGAUGCAAACGUAUGUAGAACGGACUAUUCGCCUAAUAGAAAAUUCAUAGACAAACGUAAUUAACAUCUAAAUAGCUCGUUUUUACAACCUGUACCAUUUUCCUAUUAAAUCGUUACGUGAAUUUUUCCUAUCGAUAUUUUAACGUAAAAAAGUCAACGUGAGUGGAAAAAAGAUUAAAGAUGUACGAAGGAUUAUUUUCUGAUUCAAAGUCGGUUGAUGUAAAUCGAUGGUGUAACCGUAUAUUAUCGAAAUAAUUUAGCGAUAAAUUGUCGAUUGUAACGAUAAUAGGUAUUUUCGUUUUAAUUGAAUUGAUUUCAGUUCGCUUUGAAACGAUCUUCGUUUUUGAACGCACACACAUUUUAACGCAAACGGAUGUCAUAUGCACGUAACACUCCAUCAUGUUCGUAACAAAACAAAAAUCUAUUUCUUAACAAUCCCAGUUGAUGAAAACCAAUUUUUCCUGGCACAAAAAUGUUGAACGACAAACAUCGAAGGGAUUAUAAUUGAGCGCAACCGUGGCUUAAAUAUCGCGUCAAGUUUUUCACGUAGCUAUAAAAUUUAUAUAAAAACCGCGUACAGGUCAAUCUUCUUUAUUUUUUAUUUAUAGUUUUCGUUAUAAUACAUCAGUUUUUUUUUUAUAUUUUCUGUUAUACAUAAUUGUAUUUUCUAAAAAGAUGAUAAGCGUUUCCAUUCAUUUUCGUUCUCCCGUAUUCGCUUUGUGCAGAUAUCUCGACAUAAUAUAGCCGUGUACACUUACGCCCACCGUCCGAUAUAUGCAAUUUCAGUUCGCUACAAUCUACAAUCGUAGUCUCGUAUUUGAUCGGCUGAACCAUAGAGUUUAAGUUCACCAGAUUCUGAAAAUUACCAUUGCUCUUAUUUAAUGGAAUGCUCCGGUAUUCGCAGAGUAUUCAUUUUCCACAAAAUCCAAUCGUGAAUGUCGAAUUUUAAAUUUUAUAUAGCGGUACGGUUAUCUCAUUGUUUGUACAGACUGGCUGAAAAACUUUCACGGAAACACGGAAAGCGAAACAGAAAGGACGGAAUUCUUUUCUGAAAAAUUUCAUUUCUCUUUGUCGACCCUAUAGAGGAA
Bombus terrestris (buff-tailed bumblebee) is the source of this 7696-nucleotide RNA transcript. It is a transcript of the gene named endonuclease G, mitochondrial, with no coding region annotated. The record is from RefSeq and is a predicted model, not a curated record. The transcript has 7 exons. Lineage: Eukaryota; Metazoa; Arthropoda; Insecta; Hymenoptera; Apidae.